RNAcentral lists this long non-coding RNA (565 nucleotides) under Olea europaea subsp. europaea. The record is from RNAcentral. Lineage: Eukaryota; Viridiplantae; Streptophyta; Magnoliopsida; Lamiales; Oleaceae.
CCCAUCCCAACAAUGGGAAUGAUUUGGAGUUUCAAUUGUUGAUCAUUACAGAGUCGAUCCUUUAUCUGCAUCAAGUCUUGACUAAAUCCCACCAGAGUACUCUGGCCACUAGGAGCUGGUCGUGAUGGAAAAAAUUCCUGUGGUUGAAUUUUUUGUUUGCCAGUCUCAUCGUUAAUCUUCACCAUCUCUUCCAUGAAGGUAUCAAUUUCUGAUAUUAUUUUCUGCAAGUCCGUAAUAUUUACAUCUUCCUCUUCCAUCUUGGAAUCAACUUUUCUCACUCUUUUCAGCAAGCCUGUUUGCCAGGAUUCAAUGACAUCUUCAGCAUGAUAAGCAGCGUCUCUGAUUUUUAUUUCCAAGGAUUUCACUUUUUUGCUGCUAUAUUCAGAUGAUUCAGUAAGGAAAUGUAAUACUUUUGGGACUAUUUUUACCAGAGAGGAAAUUUCUUUUCUUUGAUUAAAACGAAUGGAAAGUCUAUCUUCAAGGAGGAUGUGACGAAGAAUGAUCUUAAGAGAAACAACAGCAGCAUAAGCCAUCUCUAAUCUCUAGAAAAAAUGCUCAAGCAAAG